UACGUAGGGGACGAGCGUUGUCCGGAAUUACUGGGCGUAAAGAGCUCGUAGGUGGUUUGUCGCGUCGUCUGUGAAAUUCCGGGGCUUAACUUCGGGCGUGCAGGCGAUACGGGCAAUACUUGAGUGCUGUAGGGGAGACUGGAAUUCCUGGUGUAGCGGUGAAAUGCGCAGAUAUCAGGAGGAACACCGAUGGCGAAGGCAGGUCUCUGGGCCACUACUGACGCUGAGAAGCGAAAGCAUGGGGAGCGAACAGGAUUAGAUA
This 262-nucleotide ribosomal RNA is filed under the name uncultured prokaryote. Its description in RNAcentral is "partial 16S ribosomal RNA". It matches the Rfam family "Bacterial small subunit ribosomal RNA", at positions 524 to 784 of the family's 1533-position model. The record is from RNAcentral.